This 253-nucleotide unclassified non-coding RNA is filed under the name uncultured Bacteroidota bacterium. RNAcentral describes it as "uncultured Bacteroidetes bacterium contains 16S-23S intergenic spacer region". It matches the Rfam family "Bacterial small subunit ribosomal RNA", at positions 524 to 776 of the family's 1533-position model. The record is from RNAcentral. Lineage: Bacteria; Pseudomonadati; Bacteroidota.
UACGGAGGGUGCAAGCGUUGUCCGAAAUCACUGGGUGUAAAGGGUGCGCAGGCGGGCUGGCAAGUCAGAGGUGAAAGCUCUCGGCUCAACCGAGAAAUGGCCUUUGAUACUGCCAGUCUUGAGUUCCGAAGAGGUCGCCGGAAUUCGUGGUGUAGCGGUGAAAUGCGUAGAUAUCACGAGGAACACCAGAGGCGAUAGCGGGCGACUGGUCGGAUACUGACGCUCAGGCACGAAAGCGUGGGGAGCAAACAGG